AACGCACAUUGCGCCCCUUGGUAUUCCGGGGGGCAUGCCUGUUCGAGCGUCAUUAUAACCCUCAAGCCUAGCUUGGUGUUGGAGCGUGUCCUUUGACAGCUCUCAAAAUCAGUGGCGGCGCCUUCUGGUUCUAAGCGUAGUAACUUUUCUCGCUAUAGCUCCCGGAGGUGUUCUGCCAGAACCCCUAAUUUUCUAUGGUUGACCUCGGAUCAGGUAGGGAUACCCGCUGAACUUAA
RNAcentral lists this unclassified non-coding RNA (236 nucleotides) under uncultured Leotiomycetes. Its description in RNAcentral is "sequence contains ITS2". The record is from RNAcentral. Lineage: Eukaryota; Fungi; Ascomycota; Leotiomycetes.